This 439-nucleotide ribosomal RNA is filed under the name uncultured bacterium. RNAcentral's name for it is "partial 16S ribosomal RNA". It matches the Rfam family "Bacterial small subunit ribosomal RNA", at positions 339 to 795 of the family's 1533-position model. The record is from RNAcentral.
UUACGGGGGGCAGCAGUGGGGAAUAUUGCACAAUGGAGGAAACUCUGAUGCAGCAACGCCGCGUGGAGGAUGACACUUUUCGGAGCGUAAACUCCUUUUAUAUAGGAAGAAGAUGACGGUACUAUAUGAAUAAGCGCCGGCUAACUCCGUGCCAGCAGCCGCGGUAAUACGGAGGGCGCAAGCGUUACUCGGAAUCACUGGGCGUAAAGAGCGUGUAGGCGGAUUAAAAAGUCAGAAGUGAAAUCCUAUAGCUUAACUAUAGAACUGCUUCUGAAACUCUUAAUCUAGAAUAUGGGAGAGGUAGAUGGAAUUUCUGGUGUAGGGGUAAAAUCCGUAGAGAUCAGAAGGAAUACCGGUUGCGAAGGCGAUCUACUAGAACAUUAUUGACGCUGAGACGCGAAAGCGUGGGGAGCAAACAGGAUUAGAUACCCGCGUAGUC